Molecule: ribosomal RNA, 502 nt
Filed under: uncultured bacterium
Lineage: Bacteria
Description: bacterial SSU rRNA
Rfam family: Bacterial small subunit ribosomal RNA
Source: RNAcentral
AUUGAACGCUGGCGGCGUGCCUAACACAUGCAAGUCGAGCGGUAACAGGUGUAGCAAUACAUGCUGACGAGCGGCGGACGGGUGAGUAACGCUUGGGAAUCUGCCUAUUAGUGGGGGACAACCCGGGGAAACUCGGGCUAAUACCGCAUACGCACUACGGUGGAAAGCCGGGGACCGCAAGGCCUGGCGCUAACAGAUGAGCCCAAGUCGGAUUAGCUAGUUGGUAGGGUAACGGCCACCAAGGCGACGAUCCGUAACUGGUCUGAGAGGACGACCAGUCACACCGGAACUGAGACACGGUCCGGACUCCUACGGGAGGCAGCAGUGGGGAAUAUUGGACAAUGGGCGAAAGCCUGAUCCAGCGACGCCGCGUGGGUGAAGAAGGCCUGCGGGUUGUAAAGCCCUUUCAGUGGGGAAGAAAAGCCUCGAGCUAACACCUCGGGGUCUUGACGUAACCCAUAGAAGAAGCACCGGCUAACUCUGUGCCAGCCGCCGCCGUAAU